UCAUGCUCAUCUUCAUCAUCGUCAUCAUGGUGAUGGUGAUGAUGUUCGUGCUCGUCUUCAUCAUCAUCGUCAUCGUGGUGAUGGUGGUGAUGCUCG
Molecule: unclassified non-coding RNA, 96 nt
Filed under: Butyrivibrio sp. TB
Lineage: Bacteria; Bacillati; Bacillota; Clostridia; Lachnospirales; Lachnospiraceae
Description: microRNA mir-598
Source: RNAcentral